Molecule: ribosomal RNA, 801 nt
Filed under: uncultured bacterium
Lineage: Bacteria
Description: bacterial SSU rRNA
Rfam family: Bacterial small subunit ribosomal RNA
Source: RNAcentral
CAGUCGAACGAGUUCUCGUUGAUGAUCGGUGCUUGCACCGAGAUUCAACAUCGAACGAGUGGCGGACGGGUGAGUAACACGUGGGUAACCUGCCCUUAAGUUGGGGAUAACAUUUGGAAACAGAUGCUAAUACCGCAUAGAUCCAAGAACCGCAUGGUUCUUGGCUGAAAGAUGGCGUAAGCUAUCGCUUUUGGAUGGACCCGCGGCGUAUUAGCUAGUUGGUGAGGUAAUGGCUCACCAAGGCGAUGAUACGUAGCCGAACUGAGAGGUUGAUCGGCCACAUUGGGACUGAGACACGGCCCAAACUCCUACGGGAGGCAGCAGUAGGGAAUCUUCCACAAUGGACGCAAGUCUGAUGGAGCAACGCCGCGUGAGUGAAGAAGGCUUUCGGGUCGUAAAACUCUGUUGUUGGAGAAGAAUGGUCGGCAGAGUAACUGUUGCCGGCGUGACGGUAUCCAACCAGAAAGCCACGGCUAACUACGUGCCAGCAGCCGCGGUAAUACGUAGGUGGCAAGCGUUAUCCGGAUUUAUUGGGCGUAAAGCGAGCGCAGGCGGUUUUUUAAGUCUGAUGUGAAAGCCCUCGGCUUAACCGAGGAAGCGCAUCGGAAACUGGGAAACUUGAGUGCAGAAGAGGACAGUGGAACUCCAUGUGUAGCGGUGAAAUGCGUAGAUAUAUGGAAGAACACCAGUGGCGAAGGCGGCUGUCUGGUCUGUAACUGACGCUGAGGCUCGAAAGCAUGGGUAGCGAACAGGAUUAGAUACCCUGGUAGUCCAUGCCGUAAACGAUGAAUGCUAGGUGUU